RNAcentral lists this ribosomal RNA (360 nucleotides) under uncultured bacterium. RNAcentral's name for it is "partial 16S ribosomal RNA". It matches the Rfam family "Bacterial small subunit ribosomal RNA", at positions 338 to 696 of the family's 1533-position model. The record is from RNAcentral.
CCUACGGGCGGCAGCAGUGGGGAAUAUUGGUCAAUGGGCGCGAGCCUGAACCAGCCAAGUCGCGUGAGGGAAGACGGUCCUAUGGAUUGUAAACCUCUUUUGUCGGGGAGCAAAAGACGCCACGCGUGGCGUUCCGCGAGUACCCGAAGAAAAAGCAUCGGCUAACUCCGUGCCAGCAGCCGCGGUAAUACGGGGGAUACGAGCGUUAUCCGGAUUUAUUGGGGUAAAGGGGUGCGAAGGGGGAAGAUCAAGUCAGCGGUAAAAUUGAGAGGCUCAACCUCUUCGAGCCGUUGAAACGGGGUUUCUUGAGUGAUGGAGAAGCAGGCGGAAUGCGUGGUGUAGCGGUGAAAUGCAUAGAUA